Molecule: ribosomal RNA, 119 nt
Filed under: Pteropus alecto (black flying fox)
Lineage: Eukaryota; Metazoa; Chordata; Mammalia; Chiroptera; Pteropodidae
Also listed under: 1 other name
Source: RNAcentral
GUCUAUGGUCAUGCCACCCUGAACUCACCCGAUCUCGUCUGAUCUUGGAAGCUAAGCAGGAUUGGGCUUGGUUAGUACGUGGAUGGGAGACCACCUAGGAAUUCCAGGUGCUGCAGGCA